Molecule: long non-coding RNA, 819 nt
Filed under: Sorghum bicolor (sorghum)
Lineage: Eukaryota; Viridiplantae; Streptophyta; Magnoliopsida; Poales; Poaceae
Description: long non-coding RNA (SBIC_LNC014753)
Source: RNAcentral
UGGCAAUCUAUAUGAAUAGUGAGUUGCUCGAUUUGGCCUAAUUCAUCAGAACUUUGGUAUGUAGUCCACUUCAUGUGUUUUUUCACCAUAUCAUUGAAGACAUAUGGUACACAGUAGCUGCAGCAGCCCAUGCAGUUUCCUUUUAACAAGGCGUCCAACUCUCACUUAUGAAGGCCUGCAGCUAGUUCAGGGAGACAUAUUGCCAUAGGAGAUCUACAUGUUCUCAUCAAUAAACUGCUGAUUCCUCUAAGUAUGCUGUAUGAUUCAGUGGCACAGAAGUAGACAAAGAAAUCUGUAUGAGUCCAAACUUGUCAACUGCGUGUGGUAGUGUUGGUGAGGAUUCGUCUUUCUAUAUAGAAGGUUAUGAGAACCAGUUACUACUAGAUCAUGUAUUUUAAACAAGAACCAAGGGUCCAUUCGGGGACAAUGGAAAUACAUUAUAAUGUGGUAGUUGAAGUUGGUGGGUAGGAGAUAAUUCGGACUCAUUGAUUAAAAAUGCAAAGCAAUAGAGCAGUUGAUGGCAUAUCCAAGUACCGCGGAAUAUCAUGAAUACCCAACUAUGGCAAUACUAUUGACAAUGUCGAAACAUGACAAACUAUUGGUCCAUUAGAACCAUUUAACAAUGUCGGCUCCUAACUUUUAUUUGUACAUGUGAGUGGCACGAACAAGUUGGUGUACGGAUGCCGGUGUGAAAGCCGACACAAGUAAUGCAACGUUUGUGCCACCACUUCUAUAUUUAGAACAGAUAGUCAUAGACCACUUUUGUUAUGUCACUUUUGUGAUGCAAAAAAGGCCUUUGAAACAGCUACAUAACCCAUC